GUUAUUAGAAAAGGCUCCAAGCCUUCUUACACGACUUUUUGCAAAGCUCCAUUCCUUUUCAAAGGACUUCACCCAUUCAGUAUCUCAUUUGACAACCUCUUUAUUAGAAAUUUAGGUAUGAUUAUGAAGAACUACGCCUACUUUUAGGUAAGGAAUGUAAGGCACAAUUGGUUUUUAAUUUCCUUUUUAGGGUCAACAAUGUCCAAUUUACCCCUAUGUGCUAGGCAAGUUUGAAGUACAUUGUGCAUAAAAUAGAGAUCCUGGUCUCAUAGAAGUUACCACUGAGAUCACAGGGUGAGUGGGUAAGAUUUGUAGAGAUUGAUCCCAUUUUCAGAUUUAUAGUUUUGUUUUCAUUACCUUCUGAUCUCUCUUAAUCAGAUAUACAAUUCUCAAAACUGAGGGGAAAGUAUUAACUAUGCCAUGAGCAGGCAAGGCAGAAAAAGGACAUUAGUUUUUGGUGUUAACUGUCUAACAUGAGGGUUGUAAAUAAUUUCUUAGAGAUAAUAAAGACAUUACAGAUGUAAUUAAACUAUUUCUUAUAGACUUAUGACUGGUAUAUUGCCAGGGUAAAAAGCAAGGCAAAAAGUGUCAUCUAAGUUUUCACUUUAAUUUUUUUUUAACAACUACUAUAAUCCUGGCUCUGGAGGUAGUGAUAAACAACUGUCAUAGGCCUGGUCCCUGCCACCCUCCAUUUUUAACUAAUGGUAGAGUCAGACAUUUAAAAGUAAGUCCCUCUGCUUUGAAAGUUGAUAGUUAACUAUACUUAUCAAAACACCUAACUUUGAGCACACAUUACUUUUACAAUAAAAAACUAAAUAAUUUGGGUAUGCUGGCUAGUACAAGUCACCACAUGGGAAAACAAUCAUAGUUUAAAAGAGCUUGGAAGAUGUAAUUACAGGAUUAUUUGCAGAACACUGCAUGAGCUUGCAUUCUGAUUUCAUGUCAUAACUCCAUGAUUGAAGGCUUCAAAAUCAGAAUCAAAUUUAGAUCUCCCACUUGGAGACUCUGGUAAUCAGAAUCUUCUGUCACUGAGUCCCAGACGAUUUCAAAUACAUUACACUCCACCAGCAAGGUCAGAGUAUGAGGAAAACAGUAUGAGUUUUAUUUUUCUCGUUCUUAUCUUUUCUAAGGAAGUUUAAGAAUUCUUCCCAGGUCAUUAAAAAAAACUCAGUAGGGGCUUCCCUGGUGGCGCAGUGGUUGAGCGUCCGCCUGCCGAUGCAGGGGACACGGGUUCGUGCCCCGGUCCGGGAAGAUCCCACAUGCCGCGGAGCGGCUGGACCUGUGAGCCAUGGCCGCUGAGCCUGCACGUCCGGAGGCUGUGCUCCGCCACGGGAGAGGCCACAACAGUGAGAGGCCCACGUACCAC
RNAcentral lists this long non-coding RNA (1366 nucleotides) under Phocoena sinus (vaquita). RNAcentral's name for it is "lncRNA (ENSPSNG00000021285.1)". The record is from RNAcentral. Lineage: Eukaryota; Metazoa; Chordata; Mammalia; Artiodactyla; Phocoenidae.